UGGGGGAUAUUGCACAAUGGGCGAAAGCCUGAUGCAGCGACGCCGCGUGGGGGAUGAAGGCCUUCGGGUUGUAAACUUCUUUUGCUCUGAACAAGGCAUGCUAAUGGGUGUGUUGAGUGUAGGGGUUGAUUAGCGCCGUCUAACUACGUGCCAGCAGCCGCGGUAAUACGUAGGGCGCGAGCGUUGUCCGGAAUUAUUGGGCGUAAAGGGCUUGUAGGUGGCUGGUUGCGUCUGUCGUGAAAGCUCAUGGCUUAACUGUGGGUUUGCGGUGGGUACGGGCUGGCUUGAGUGCAGUAGGGGAGGCUGGAAUUCCUGGUGUAGCGGUGGAAUGCGCAGAUAUCAGGAGGAAUACCGGUGGCGAAGGCGGGUCUCUGGGCUGUUACUGACACUGAGGAGCGAAAGCAUGGGGAGCGAACAGG
This 419-nucleotide ribosomal RNA is filed under the name bacterium. RNAcentral describes it as "partial 16S ribosomal RNA". It matches the Rfam family "Bacterial small subunit ribosomal RNA", at positions 355 to 776 of the family's 1533-position model. The record is from RNAcentral.